This 283-nucleotide long non-coding RNA is filed under the name Gallus gallus (chicken). RNAcentral's name for it is "long non-coding RNA NONGGAT002101". Lineage: Eukaryota; Metazoa; Chordata; Aves; Galliformes; Phasianidae. The record is from RNAcentral.
GACGUCCUGCCCGGCUCGCCUUACAGUUGGGCUGUGGUUAUGUUUUACCUCAGAGCGACUCGCUUGAGGGGUGUGGGGAGGAAAGCCGGUGUUAGUGGACAAAAAGAGAUUUCAGUCAUUUCACAAGCCUUGCUCCCAUCCCAGUCACUGUGUUCAGCUCUGGUUUCAUGUCGUGUGCAGAUCUCCCAAUAGACUGACAGAAGCAGACAUGAAUUCAUGAUGAGGAGCAUCCAGUACACUAGGUUAGUGCACCAACUGAGAUGUAAUCCAGAGAACCGUUCUC